RNAcentral lists this ribosomal RNA (461 nucleotides) under uncultured bacterium. RNAcentral's name for it is "partial 16S ribosomal RNA". It matches the Rfam family "Bacterial small subunit ribosomal RNA", at positions 28 to 506 of the family's 1533-position model. The record is from RNAcentral.
GACGAACGCUGGCGGCGUGCUUAACACAUGCAAGUCGAACGGAAAGGCCCUUCGGGGUACUCGAGUGGCGAACGGGUGAGUAACACGUGGGUGAUCUGCCCUGCACUUUGGGAUAAGCCUGGGAAACUGGGUCUAAUACCGAAUAGGACCACGCGCUUCAUGGUGUGUGGUGGAAAGCUUUUGCGGUGUGGGAUGGGCCCGCGGCCUAUCAGCUUGUUGGUGGGGUAAUGGCCUACCAAGGCGACGACGGGUAGCCGGCCUGAGAGGGUGACCGGCCACACUGGGACUGAGAUACGGCCCAGACUCCUACGGGAGGCAGCAGUGGGGAAUAUUGCACAAGGGGCGCAAGCCUGAUGCAGCGACGCCGCGUGAGGGAUGACGGCCUUCGGGUUGUAAACCUCUUUCAAUAGGGACGAAGCGCAAGUGACGGUACCUAUAGAAGAAGCACCGGCCAACUACGU